AGACCCGAAACCCGGUGAUCUAGCCAUGGGCAGGUUGAAGGUUGGGUAACACUAACUGGAGGACCGAACCGACUAAUGUUGAAAAAUUAGCGGAUGACCUGUGGCUGGGGGUGAAAGGCCAAUCAAACCGGGAGAUAGCUGGUUCUCCCCGAAAGCUAUUUAGGUAGCGCCUCGUGAAUUCAUCUCCGGGGGUAGAGCACUGUUUCGGCUAGGGGGUCAUCCCGACUUACCAACCCGAUGCAAACUGCGAAUACCGGAGAAUGUUAUCACGGGAGACACACGGCGGGUGCUAACGUCCGUCGUGAAGAGGGAAACAACCCAGACCGCCAGCUAAGGUCCCAAAGUCAUGGUUAAGUGGGAAACGAUGUGGGAAGGCCCAGACAGCCAGGAUGUUGGCUUAGAAGCAGCCAUCAUUUAAAGAAAGCGUAAUAGCUCACUGGUCGAGUCGGCCUGCGCGGAAGAUGUAACGGGGCUAAACCAUGCACCGAAGCUGCGGCAGCGACGCUUAUGCGUUGUUGGGUAGGGGAGCGUUCUGUAAGCCUG
This 543-nucleotide ribosomal RNA is filed under the name Salmonella enterica. RNAcentral describes it as "partial 23S ribosomal RNA". It matches the Rfam family "Bacterial large subunit ribosomal RNA", at positions 711 to 1251 of the family's 2925-position model. The record is from RNAcentral. Lineage: Bacteria; Pseudomonadati; Pseudomonadota; Gammaproteobacteria; Enterobacterales; Enterobacteriaceae.